RNAcentral lists this transfer RNA (74 nucleotides) under Cordylochernes scorpioides. RNAcentral's name for it is "tRNA-Thr". The record is from RNAcentral. Lineage: Eukaryota; Metazoa; Arthropoda; Arachnida; Pseudoscorpiones; Chernetidae.
GUCCAGGGUAGCCGAGUAGACAAGGCACCUGCCCGGUAAGCAGAAGGGUGUGGGUUCGAUUAACGCCCUGGACA